CCUGGGAAGCCCCUCAGUGCUACUUUCCUAAUGGAAAGAGCUCAAAGGGAAUGGCUUCUGAGCCUUCACCACUGAGGACAGCAUGAAGCUAGCCACUUGCCACCUGGUUAUACCUGAAUAUGCUAAACCACGUUUAAAGAAGGGAGCUCCAGAAAGAUAUAUUGCAAGCCCCCAAGAAGGCAGACACAAAGGGAAAAGAAGUGCCACUUGAAGUUACUGUGUCAGCUGAAGACUCAAGCAUAAGAACAUAUAGUGCACCAUUCCCUACUCAUUGGAACACCU
This 282-nucleotide long non-coding RNA is filed under the name Homo sapiens (human). RNAcentral describes it as "HSALNT0138109". The record is from RNAcentral. Lineage: Eukaryota; Metazoa; Chordata; Mammalia; Primates; Hominidae.